This 253-nucleotide ribosomal RNA is filed under the name uncultured prokaryote. RNAcentral's name for it is "partial 16S ribosomal RNA". It matches the Rfam family "Bacterial small subunit ribosomal RNA", at positions 524 to 776 of the family's 1533-position model. The record is from RNAcentral.
GACAGAGGGGGCAAGCGUUGCUCGGAAUUACUGGGCGUAAAGGGCGCGUAGGCGGGAUGGCAAGUCGGUCGUGAAAUCCCUCGGCUCAACCGAGGAACGUCGAUCGAUACUGCUGUUCUUGAGGAUUGCAGAGGAGACUGGAAUUCCCGGUGUAGCGGUGAAAUGCGCAGAUAUCAAGUGGAACACCAGUGGCGAAGGCGUGUCUCUGGACAUUUCCUGACGCUGAGGCACGAAAGCCAGGGGAGCAAACGGG